This 316-nucleotide ribosomal RNA is filed under the name uncultured Cercozoa. RNAcentral describes it as "SSU rRNA". The stretch from base 97 to 316 matches the Rfam family "Eukaryotic small subunit ribosomal RNA", at positions 734 to 955 of the family's 1831-position model. Lineage: Eukaryota; Cercozoa. The record is from RNAcentral.
GACUUCUGGUUUAAUGCACCUGGCCCGCGGCCCAAAAGGCCUGUGAGUGCCGGCGCGCGUUUACCAUCCUUCCAGCAACGGCUACCAUUAACUUGGCGGCUGGAACUGGAUCUUUUACUUUGAAAAAAUUAGAGUGUUUAAAGCAGGCGUUUGCUCUGAAUACAUUAGCAUGGAAUAAUAAUCUAGGACUUCGGUUCUAUUUUGUUGGUUUCUAUAACUGAAGUAAUGAUUGAUAGGGAUAGUUGGGGGUGCUAGUAUUGGCCGGUCAGAGGUGAAAUUCUUGGAUUCGGUCAAGACUAACUUAUGCGAAAGCAUU